CGGCGUCUGAAUGACUAUAACUCUAUAAGGUGACAAAACGACACGGUGUCAACAUCCUUAAAGGGGGGAAGAAGAGUCGUCGUGAUUCGUCGGGUGGCUGGCUCUUUGAUAAAUCUAAACAAUAAACGACGGAAGCAAUCCGAUUCUUCGUAGAUAGGAAUAGCCCGAAUAGACUGGUACUGGGAGUGUUGGACCCACUUCAUCAAUGUUCGUGUCGAUAUUUUCAAUUCUCAUACUCUUCUUUGGUCGC
Molecule: long non-coding RNA, 250 nt
Organism: Arabidopsis thaliana (thale cress)
Lineage: Eukaryota; Viridiplantae; Streptophyta; Magnoliopsida; Brassicales; Brassicaceae
Product: other RNA
Exons: 1
Source: RefSeq